GUUUUUGACGAAUUCGCAAAGGGGUUUGUACACGGGAAUUUCUUGAAAUUAUCCCUGGGCAGUUUCUUUUGAUAUCUUCACAUAACUGGGUCCCUAUGGAUAUAUGAAAUUGGUCACGACCAUAUUUGGGGCAGUCAGGACUGAAUCGGAGUAGAUAUACUGAAGUUCGAGUUUUGACGAAUUUUCAAAGAAGGGAAUUUCUUGAAAAUAUCAGCGGGCAGAUAUUUUUGAUAUUUUCACAUAAAUGAGUUCCUAUGGAUAUAUGAAUUUUGUCACGACCAUAUUUG
Molecule: long non-coding RNA, 287 nt
Filed under: Daucus carota (carrot)
Lineage: Eukaryota; Viridiplantae; Streptophyta; Magnoliopsida; Apiales; Apiaceae
Description: long non-coding RNA (DCAR_LNC007231)
Source: RNAcentral